RNAcentral lists this ribosomal RNA (253 nucleotides) under uncultured bacterium. RNAcentral's name for it is "partial 16S ribosomal RNA". It matches the Rfam family "Bacterial small subunit ribosomal RNA", at positions 524 to 776 of the family's 1533-position model. The record is from RNAcentral.
UACAGAGGUCUCAAGCGUUGUUCGGAUUCAUUGGGCGUAAAGGGUGCGUAGGCGGCGCGGUAAGUCGGGUGUGAAAUCUCGGAGCUUAACUCCGAAACUGCAUUCGAUACUGCCGUGCUUGAGGACUGGAGAGGAGACUGGAAUUCUCGGUGUAGCGGUGAAAUGCGUAGAUAUCGAGAGGAACACCUGCGGCGAAGGCGGGUUGCUGGGCUGACACUGACGCUGAGGCGCGAAAGCUAGGGGAGCGAACAGG